UACGGAGGGGACUAGCGUUGUUCGGAAUUACUGGACGUAAAGCGCGCGUAAGCGGAUUAGUAAGUCAGAGGUGAAAUCCCAGGGCUCAACCUUGGAACUGCCUUUGAUACCGCUAGUCUUAAGUUCGAGAGAGGUGAGUGGAAUUCCGAGUGUAGAGGUGAAAUUCGUAGAUAUUCGGAGGAACACCAGUGGCGAAGGCGGCUCACUGGCUCGAUACUGACGCUGAGGUGCGAAAGUGUGGGGAGCAAACAGG
RNAcentral lists this unclassified non-coding RNA (253 nucleotides) under uncultured Rhodobacterales bacterium. RNAcentral describes it as "contains 16S-23S intergenic spacer region". It matches the Rfam family "Bacterial small subunit ribosomal RNA", at positions 524 to 776 of the family's 1533-position model. Lineage: Bacteria; Pseudomonadati; Pseudomonadota; Alphaproteobacteria; Rhodobacterales. The record is from RNAcentral.